Small nuclear RNA from Dromiciops gliroides (monito del monte), 103 nucleotides. The record is from RefSeq and is a predicted model, not a curated record. NCBI's taxonomy places the organism in Eukaryota, Metazoa, Chordata, Mammalia, Microbiotheria, Microbiotheriidae.
GAAUUGUCUAAAUGUGCAUACUAAAAUUGGAAUGAUACAGGGAAGAUUAGCAUGGUCCCGGUGCAAGGAUGACACGCAAAUUUGUGAAGAAUUGGCUAAACAA